This 6867-nucleotide long non-coding RNA is filed under the name Fragaria vesca (wild strawberry). RNAcentral's name for it is "long non-coding RNA (FVES_LNC000972)". The record is from RNAcentral. Lineage: Eukaryota; Viridiplantae; Streptophyta; Magnoliopsida; Rosales; Rosaceae.
AUCAUCCCUCUUCUUCAUAUUCAGGAAAUCGACUGAAUUCUUGCUGCGGUGGGCAGGACUGAAAUAUUGCCCCAAGAAGAGGGUCUUAAACUGCUCCCACGACAUAUUCAGCGCAUCCUCAACAUUCCUGCUGGCAAGCGACCACCAGUGAUGUGCUGAAUCAUCCAGGAAAGUUACUGCCAUCUUCACCUUGCUUUCUUCUGGCAACUCUGUGCUCGCAAAAGCCUUUUCCAUUUUGUCCACCCAAGUAUAAGCAUCGAGGGGUCCCUUGGCACCCUUGAACUCUCUUGCUCCAGCCUCAUAAACUUCUCUCCUCUUCACUGUAUGAGGUUGUGGAGCUUGAUCCAUGACAUCCCUCAGCAUAUUUCCAAUAUCAUCAACCAGUCCCCUGACCUCAUUGCCCUCAUCGGCAUUGGUCGAAGUAGCCACACGGGGUUGCUGUGGGCGCCGAGGAGGCAUAGCACCUGAGGAAGAAGAUAUUUAGUAGUCCAUAAACAAGACUAACACAAUAAUCACAUAUAGCCAAUAACACAUAGCAUCAAAAGCAUAAAAUGUCAAUGAAUCCGCCGCGGUCGGAUCACCACUCUAUAGACACUACGUGCUACUUAGGCAAAUAUGAUAGAGAUAAGGAAGCAGGAAAAAGAAACCUAUAGCUCUGAUACCAACUGACACGACCCACCCCGAAUUUCACCCUGAAACCCAGAGUAAGUCGUGCGGGGACCACCUCCAAGGAAAAUUUACUGAAAAGAUUAAGAAAAUCUCCUUUGCAGAUGGACAACCCUAACUCGAAAAUUUCAUAUUACACUCUUAAUUUAACACUUCUGAACAUCACAUAAUAUACAAAAAUUCUAAAGUAUUCAGAGCUACUAAACACAAGCGGAAGCAAGAAAACACGAGUAGGUUAAACGGGUAACCUACUGGCGAAAACUGGCAGAAAUGCGGGUGACUAUGCCUCGUCUCCUACUAGAUCCAACCCGAACUCUGCAAACUGGGCAAUUUAAAACGAAGGGCCCAGGGGAAAACAUUUAAUAACGUUAGAGUGAGUGGACAAAAUAAAAUAAUAAAUAAAAUAUUUAUGUUUCCCUAAAUUAAUUGGUAAGGAAAAAUCGAAUGCAUGCCGCAAGCGAUAAAACUUUUAUCCCAUAAAAUAUCGAGCCUCUCAGACUCUAUAAAAUAUGUAUGUAUUUACACUCGUCCAUACUCCCUAUAUAAAUUCAUGGGUCUAUAUAGGGCUACUACGCUCGCGUCCAACGCUCACGUCACGCCUUAAUGCGGUGCUACACUACGCCAUCAAGGUGGACAGACGGGUGUAUAAAUAUGUCGCCCAUACCCACUAUAUGAAUUAAACACUCAUAUAGGGCUACUACGCUUACGUCCAACGCUCACGUCACACCAUAAUGCGGCUAUAUGCUACGCCAUUAAGGUGGACAGACACAUAUGGCUAGCUAGUCUUUUAUAUACAUACUCCCUCAUAAAUACAUAUUUAUAUUCACCGAAAAUCCCAUUUUCGGUAACUCUCUCAGAGAAAUAAAAGCGUCAAAAUUAAUUGACGGUAAAACUCCAACAAAAGGAAAUGUUCAAUCAUGAACCNNNNNNNNNNNNNNNNNNNNGAAUUAACACUCAAUAGGCUACUACGCUUACGUCUAACGCUCACGUCACACCAUAAUGCGGCUAUAUGCUACGCCAUUAAGGUGGACAGACACAUAUGGCUAGCUAGCAUUUUCUAUACAUACUCUCUCAUAAAUACAUAUUUAUAUCCACCGAAAAUCCCAUUUUCGGUAUCUCUCCAAGAGAAAUAAAAAUCGUCAAAAAUUAAAAUGACGUCAAAAUACUCCACGACAUUAAUUAUUCAAUCGUGAACUUUAGCAUGCAUUUAUUUAAAAUAAACGUCCACUCACAAAUUAGGCCUAAGCCUGUUGUCGAUCUGGGGUCUCGUCUGCUCGAGCCUCCUCACGUCCUGUUCCAAAUAAAAUAUUAAUUUCCCAACCAAUAAUCCAAUAUUUAAUCAAAAUAGGCAAAAUUACCCGAGAGCCAUAAAUACGCUCAUCAUUGCCUAACUUCGAUAUUCUUAAAUCGGAACGAUCCGAACUUAAAUAUCAUACUCAACAGUCGCAAAUACAACCUCUCCAAAAUACGACUUAAAUCCUACGGCCGGAUUUGGCAGCAUCAUCCUCUCAACCUCCUCUACAACAUUCCUAACUACCACAAACUCCAAUUCUAAGCCUAACCAUGUCGAUCGAACACAAACAACCAUAAAUCCCUAAAACUUUCAAUUAAACAAACCUCCCUAACGAAAUCGAAUUUAGCCGAAACCUUUUGAGGGAUUACUCACCUAGAUGAGGGCUACAAGUUGAGCCAAAAAUCACGACCUAUGGUGGCCGGAAGACAGAGCUCCGGCGAAGGACCCUUUCCGGCAGUCGAACCUUUCGGGGUUGACCGCUCCUUCACGGCGGCGUUCCGGGCGCGUGCACCGGUCCAGGAUGAGAGAGGAAGAGGCAAGGGUCCGAACGGGAUCAGUCUGGCGGUCGGUGGUGGCCGGAUGGCGGCGGACGGCGGUGGUGAAAUUUCCGGGUGGAGAGAGGAGAAAAUCGGGUGGGAGGAGAGAGAAUCGGGAGAGAGGGAGAAGAGAAAAAGGGUUUUGGGCCUCACCCCAAACCGGUCCACAACACUUAACCCAAUCUUCCAAAAAUAAAAACACCCCGAAAAAAUAAUACCCGAAUAAAAAUUACCUUUUACUAGCUAAAAUUUACCAUUUUUACCGUGGUCGUAUUUUCCUCAUACGAAUAAUCCUCCGCACAUAAUCGUCCCCGAAACCCCUCUAGGGACCAAUUAAACUAUUUACUCAAUGACGGAGACGGUAAAAUUCUUAUUAUAAUCAGGCUAGUAAAUAAGGUAAAAAUAUAAGGGUCGGGAUGUGACACCUUCAGCCUAUAAAUAAAGCCUUUAGUUGCUGCAAAAACACACAACUCAAGCAGCAGAACAUACAACCCGAAGUAAUACAUCCUAGAUCACAUAAGCAAGCCUCAAGCAUCAAGCCAAGCAUCCCUAGCCUCCAAUCCAAAACCAUUCUCAAGCUCUAUACACUCCUAAACCCAUCAAACACCACCAGAUCAUUUUUCUCCUCACUGCAAUAGAUUACCCCGCAACAAACCUUUAGCCAUAGCAAUUUCUCAUCUUCUGCAACUCAUGUGCUUCUAGCUCCCACGCCUCAUGCCAUCUUGCAAGCUCUUUCAUGUAUUUUGUUCAUCUAUCAUGCAGUCAAAACCACAUCAAGUUCAUGCCUCCAGAUGUCACACCCCGGUUCUUAAGUUAUUUUACGGUUAUUUACUUUGGUGUUAUUUUGGUCUUUUACCGUGUUAAGUAACCGUUUACUACUUAAGGAUCCAAAAGUUGACUUUUUCUUCCGUUUGGAAUUUGGGAAAACUUCCUUCAUGAAAGUUGUAGAGGACAUUAAACGGAGUUCGUGGACACGAGGCACGCUUAAAUCGGAGUUCGUAUGAAGAAGUUAUGGUCUAAAAACGAAAGUUACUAUAUUGGUAAAAGGAGGUAAAUUCUAGUAGGUUUUAUUGUGUGGGUGUUUUAAGUUUGGACCGGGUCAAGAGGGGGGUCAAAGCCCAGCCACUCUCUCUCUCUCNNNNNNNNNNNNNNNNNNNNUCCCCUCUCUCUCUCUCUCUCUCUCUCUCUCUCUCUCUCUCUCUCUCUCUCUCUCUCUCUCUCUCUCUCUCUCUCUCUUCCCUCUUCCCCGAGCCCUCUCCCGCCGAAAGCUUUCCCAGCGUCGCCUGCUGCCGUCCGGCCACCGGAGAUCGCCGCACCUGUCCCAAACGGUCGGCCGUCGACCCAGCUCUCUUCUUGGACCGGUGGGAGCCGCCCUAGCGCCGUUGUGAGGGAGGAAGAGCUCUCGGAAGGUCCGACUGCGUGAUGGAGUCCCGACGCCGGAACUCACUCCUCCGACCACCAUUUCCGGUGAUUUCAGUCCCAUUUGGAAGUACUCUCCGUGUUUAACAAUUCCCUAGAAGGUAAUGAUCCAAUUCGAAGUGUGUAGGAGGAUUUUCGGGCUAGGGUUUGAAUUGGGGGAUUUUUAGAUGUUUUGAUUCGAUUACCCUAGUUAGGCUUAGAAUUGGGCUAAGUGCUGGUCAUUAAAGUUGUUUGGGAUGUUGAGGGGAAGAUGCUGUUAAAAUUUGGUAGCCAUUGGGGGUCGCCGGAGUCGGCCGCCGGCCGCCGCUACCGGCGGAGCAGACGGCGGCGCCACCACUUGGAGGUUGAUUUUCAGGUUUUUGGGUUUGUUAUAAUGAGAGGAGUCUAAUGAAGUAUAGUUUGGAAUUUUUGGAGGAGUUUUGAUAAGGUUUGAGAUUUUUAAAAGAUUAAGGAUUUUGCCAGUUGUUAGAAUGAAAAUCCGGCCGUUGGAUUUCCUUGGUAUUUAUUAUACAAUGUUAGAAUUGAUGAAUUAAGGUUGUGGUGGAGUUUGGUGUGAAUUCGGCGAGUUUAACCCUGUUAAGAAUAGUGGGUUAAACGGAAGAGAGUUAGAUGUUUUAUUCACGUAUUUAUUUUCUAUAAUCGAAGAGUGGUUCUACGCAUUUUUAUUGUGUCAGGAUACGAGGGGAUCCUCGCUUCAGUGGCGAUGCGGAUAUCGCUGGGCUUAUGCCUAAAGUUGUGAGUGGACAUUUUGGUUUUAAAUAAAUACGCAUGCUAGAUUUAAUAAUCUAUCAUUUUAUUUUCCAAGCAUAUAUGAUAAUAUUCAACUCAUGGGAUGAUCUUGAAAAUUAUUUGAGUUUGGUGCAUUGAUUAAGUGUUGAUCAUGAUAUAUGGAUUUGAGCUCGGAUUAUUAUUUUGAUAUUUGAGACGGGAUAUUCCUUAUAAAUUUCGGAUUUCAGUAUAAUGGUUUUAUUGGUGGACUUUGAGAUUUUCUUUAAAAGAUUUUCGAAAAUGGGAUUUUCGGUAGUUUUCCAUCAUAAUUUAAUUGUUUAUUUGAGGCAUAUUAAUUUUGACUUGGAGAAUAUUUUAGCGAGUAUUUUCGUGUGGAGAUAUUAUUAUUUAUGAAUUAUAUUUGAUAUUGAAAUCUCGCUUAUAUUUAUAAAUUUGAGAAGAUUUUGACGUGUGAGACAUGUCAUUGAGUUUAUUAUAAUUUCUUAUGAUAAUUUUCAAGUACGGUUGGGAACCGUACCUUUCGUAUGAUCUUGGGGAAGAUUAUUGGAUUUAAGUGUUUUUGUAUGUUUUGGUCACCAUAAGAUAGGGUCACUUAUAUUGAUUACUGCUAGCUAACCUUAUUAGCGGUCCUCAUCAUAUGUGAGUUGCUAUUAUGCCCUUAUUAGCGGUCGUCUUCAUAUGUGAGUAGAGCGCUUAGCGUGGUACACUAUUAUAGCCUGGGAGGCAACCGAUCGGUAUUUAUAUUUAUUAGCUAGCUAGCCAUUAUUAGUGGUCCUCAUCAUAUGUGAGUUGAACGCUUAGCGUGAGACGCUAUUAUAGACUUAUUAGCGGUCCUCCUCAUAUGGGAGUUGAGCGCUUAGUGUGGGACGCUAUUAUAGCCUGGGAGGCAUCGCCCCGAGUCUUAGAGGCUCCUUUUUUCAUGGUGAUAACUCUCCCCCUUAUUUUAUUCUUCUCAAUAAUAUACUUGAUUAACCAGCGGGGCUAGUUUAUCUUCUCGUAUGAGAUUUUUGUUUUGUUUAACCAGCGGGGCUGGUUUGUCCUUUAUUAAGUGAUUUUGGAUUUAAAGUUUUAAGCACGUUUAAGUUGCAUGCUGUUAAGUUUUAAAAGUUGAAAAGUGGGAAAGUAUAUAAGAUUUAUAAUUGUUAAGUUAUUGAAUUUAUUUUCAUCCACUCACUCUAACGUUUUUUAAAUUACUUUCCCUUGGGCCCCUUGGUUUAUAAAUGCCCAGUUUUCAGCCUAAGUUAUUUGAGGUCGAGCGUACAUGGAGUCGAGGCAUAAUCAGAGGCUGCUUCCGCUUAUUCGUUUUCAUUGUUUUUAUUCAUCAUUAGAUAUGCUCUGAAAGUCUAGUAGUAGCUUAUUAAAUGUCUUUGUUGUUGGUUGUGGAAUUAUUAUUAGAUGAGAAAUUGUUAUUGGGAGUUUUGAUGAACUUGGAGAGCGGGAAGGGUCUAGAAGAUGAGGAUGGAUGUUUGAUUAUAGAAGUGUUAAGUUGGAUUUUUCAAGAAAGGGUAGUCCAUUUUCAAGGAAGGUUAUGCCGAAUUUUCGGUAAAUUUUCCUUGAAGGUGGACCUCGUAGGAUUUACCACGGGUUUCGGGGUGAAAUUCGGGGUGGGUCCUAACACCAGAUCACAAACAACAUGUCACCGCAGCAGGCUAUCAUCCCCGUAACAAACCAAUAUUACUACAAGGGAGAUCCUGGGGAAAACAUGCACAAAAGCUUCAAGGAGCUUUGGGCCCAGUUCUGGAACUCAGAAGGGGUAGAAAGAGGAAAUCAAGCAGCCUCUAUCCAAAAUGACCCCAACAAUUACUCAUUGAUCAGUUCAGCCAUGAAGAUGCUAUGUCACAUCCCGACCCUUACAUUUUUACCUUAUUUACUAGCUUGGUUAUAAUAAGAAUUUUACCGUCUCCGUCAAUGAAUUUAUAGUUUAAUUGGUCCCUAGAGGGGUUUGGGGGACGGUUAUUUUCGGAGGAUUAUUCGUAGGAGAAAAUUUUUUACGACGGUAAAAAUGGUAAAUUUUAGCUAGUAAAAGGUAAUUUUUAUUAGAGUAUUAUUUUUUUGGGUGUUUUAUUUUGGAGUUGGGUUGGUAUAAGGGUGUUGGACCGGGUUGGUGGAGGCCCAAGUCCUAUUUUUCUCUUCUCUCUUCUUCUUCUCUCCCUCCCGACCUCUCCCGCUUGUAGUUAGGCUUGGAAUUGGUGUUUGUGCUAGUUAGGAAAAUUGUAGAGGGAG